This 331-nucleotide ribosomal RNA is filed under the name uncultured bacterium. RNAcentral describes it as "bacterial SSU rRNA". It matches the Rfam family "Bacterial small subunit ribosomal RNA", at positions 9 to 339 of the family's 1533-position model. The record is from RNAcentral.
GAGUUUGAUCGUGGCUCAGGAUGAACGCUGGCGGCGUGCUUAACACAUGCAAGUCGAACGGACAAGGAGAGCUUGCUCUUCUUGUUAGUGGCGGACGGGUGAGUAACGCGUGAGCAAUCUGCCCAUAUCAGGGGAAUAACAGUUAGAAAUGACUGCUAAUACCGCAUAAGACCACAGGAGGGCAUCCUCCAGGGGUAAAAGAUUUUAUCGGAUAUGGAUGAGCUCGCGUCCUAUUAGGCAGUUGGCGGGUAACGGCCCACCAAACCGACGAUAGGUAGCCGACCUCAGAGGGUGAUCGGCCACAUUGGAACUGAGACACGGUCCAAACUCC